This 72-nucleotide transfer RNA is filed under the name Anisakis simplex (herring worm). It matches the Rfam family "tRNA". From Rfam's summary of the family: Transfer RNA (tRNA) molecules are approximately 80 nucleotides in length. Their secondary structure includes four short double-helical elements and three loops (D, anti-codon, and T loops). Lineage: Eukaryota; Metazoa; Nematoda; Chromadorea; Rhabditida; Anisakidae. The record is from Rfam by way of RNAcentral.
GACUCCGUGGCGCAACGGUAGCGCGUCUGACUCCAGAUCAGAAGGUUGCGUGUUCAAAUCCCAUCUGGUUCA